GACGAACGCUGGCGGCGUGCCUAAUACAUGCAAGUAGAACGCUGAAGAGAGGAGCUUGCUCUUCUUGGAUGAGUUGCGGACGGGUGAGUAACGCGUAGGUAACCCGCCUGGUAGUGGGGGAUGACUAUUGGAAACGAUAGCUAAUACCGCAUAAAAUUGAUUAUUGCAUGAUAAUUAAUUGAAAGAUGCAAUUGCAUCACUACCAGAUGGACCUGCGUUGUAUUAGCUAGUUGGUGAGGUGACGGCUCACCAAGGCGACGAUACAUAGCCGACCUGAGAGGGUGAUCGGCCACACUGGGACUGAGACACGGCCCAGACUCCUACGGGAGGCAGCAGUAGGGAAUCUUCGGCAAUGGGGGGAACCCUGACCGAGCAACGCCGCGUGAGUGAGGAAGGUUUUCGGAUCGUAAAGCUCCGUUGUAAGAGAAGAACGGGUGUGAGAGUGGAAAGUUCACACUGUGACGGUAUCUUACCAGAAAGGGACGGCUAACUACGUGC
Molecule: ribosomal RNA, 498 nt
Filed under: uncultured Streptococcus sp.
Lineage: Bacteria; Bacillati; Bacillota; Bacilli; Lactobacillales; Streptococcaceae
Description: bacterial SSU rRNA
Rfam family: Bacterial small subunit ribosomal RNA
Source: RNAcentral